GGGGAUAUGGCGCAGUUGGUAGCGCGCGACGUUCGCAAUGUCGAGGCCAGGGGUUCGAAUCCCCUUAUCUCCACCA
This 76-nucleotide transfer RNA is filed under the name Bacillota bacterium. RNAcentral's name for it is "tRNA-Ala". It matches the Rfam family "tRNA". From Rfam's summary of the family: Transfer RNA (tRNA) molecules are approximately 80 nucleotides in length. Their secondary structure includes four short double-helical elements and three loops (D, anti-codon, and T loops). Lineage: Bacteria; Bacillati; Bacillota. RNAcentral also lists the same sequence under 3 other names. The record is from RNAcentral.